Long non-coding RNA from Uranotaenia lowii, 980 nucleotides. RefSeq lists it as uncharacterized. NCBI's taxonomy places the organism in Eukaryota, Metazoa, Arthropoda, Insecta, Diptera, Culicidae. The record is from RefSeq and is a predicted model, not a curated record. The transcript is spliced from 3 exons.
CCAGUUAAAAACCAUUUUUGAAAGAUACAAAUAAUCUUCUAAGAAAUUCAUUGAUUAAUUUAGCAACGCGUCGAUAAGAUACCAAAUUAUUCACAAAAGAUUCAGUUAAUAAUCGUGAAAAAUAAUUGAAUAUUUUAGCAACGCGCCCCAAAAUUUUCCGGCUGUCAGCAACCCGCGUGGCUGAAAUUGUUGACAAAAAAAUCAUCUCCCGGCAAAAUGUUACUUUGUUGGGCUGGUCCGGUAGGCAACGGCAAUGGUUCCGGUGGUGCAAGGGCGCAGGUAGUCGGGUGUUUCCAGAUCGAGGAACAGGCGGCCUAGGAUGAUGAGGCCCUUGGUUCCGAAACUGAAGUGCUGAAGCUAGAAGGGAAAGGCUACGUGAAAGCCUUAGAGCAUAUAUACAAUGUAAGAAAAGGACUGGAGAAUCAAUCCAUUGAUUGAAAAAUGCGACGUUCUUUUUUUCCGAAAAGACACGAGAACCAGCAUCAUUACUGGAAAACCACGGGGCAGCAGCGACAAGAAAGGUUCAGCAGUGCUUCUUCAACACGAAGUAGGAUGGAUCGGAAGUGCCACUGCAUUUGAUACGGAAAGUGUUGCAGAAUUGGGAGCAUCCGGAAGGUGUAUCAGUUAACAUCCGCAGGUUGCGGAAGGUUAGUAUUUUAAUGAUGAAUCUAUAUAUUAUAAACAUCGUAUGGAAUUAAAUAUAUUAGAAAAUUAAAUCUCGCUUUAUAUUUAUUACGAAAAAGUAAUUGGAAAUCAAGAAAAAUAAAUAAAAUCCCAGCAUGGGCAAUCUUUUCAUUGUUGGUUAACAAAAGGUUGUAUCGUCAUCUUUUUAUGAGCGGAUCAUAAGACAACGAUAACACGUAUGAUCAACCCGUUUAAGAAAGAGUAGAAAAAAGCAAAAAAAUUGAAUGGUUACUCUACUUAACGACCCGUUCGCUGUAUCGUACAGUGUGUCCAAACGAUUCCAUUUCAUGGAAAAA